This 77-nucleotide non-coding RNA is filed under the name Echinops telfairi (small Madagascar hedgehog). Lineage: Eukaryota; Metazoa; Chordata; Mammalia; Afrosoricida; Tenrecidae. The record is from RNAcentral.
AUUUGGUCCAAAGUUGUGGGUUCUUGCUAAAUUGUUUAGCAUUUUCUCCAGCCCACAACCACACGUGCUAGCUUUGC